This 254-nucleotide ribosomal RNA is filed under the name uncultured bacterium. RNAcentral describes it as "partial 16S ribosomal RNA". It matches the Rfam family "Bacterial small subunit ribosomal RNA", at positions 524 to 777 of the family's 1533-position model. The record is from RNAcentral.
UACGAAGGGGGCUAGCGUUGCUCGGAAUCACUGGGCGUAAAGGGUGCGUAGGCGGGUUUUUAAGUCAGGGGUGAAAUCCUGGAGCUCAACUCCAGAACUGCCUUUGAUACUGAGGAUCUUGAGUUCGGGAGAGGUGAGUGGAACUGCGAGUGUAGAGGUGAAAUUCGUAGAUAUUCGCAAGAACACCAGUGGCGAAGGCGGCUCACUGGCCCGAUACUGACGCUGAGGCACGAAAGCGUGGGGAGCAAACAGGG